RNAcentral lists this ribosomal RNA (473 nucleotides) under uncultured bacterium. Its description in RNAcentral is "bacterial SSU rRNA". It matches the Rfam family "Bacterial small subunit ribosomal RNA", at positions 30 to 507 of the family's 1533-position model. The record is from RNAcentral.
AUUGAACGCUGGCGGCAGGCUUAACACAUGCAAGUCGAGCGGUAGGGACCUUCGGGUCCUGAGAGCGGCGGACGGGUGAGUAAUACAUAGGAAUCUGCCUGGUAGUGGGGGAUAGCCCGGGGAAACCCGGAUUAAUACCGCAUACGCCCUACGGGGAAAGGAGGGGAUCUUCGGACCUUUCGCUAUCAGAUGAGCCUAUGUCGGAUUAGCUAGUUGGUGAGGUAAAGGCUCACCAAGGCGACGAUCCGUAACUGGUCUGAGAGGAUGAUCAGCCACACUGGGACUGAGACACGGCCCAGACUCCUACGGGAGGCAGCAGUAGGGAAUAUUGGACAAUGGGGGGAACCCUGAUCCAGCCAUGCCGCGUGAGGGAAGAAGGUCCUCUGGAUUGUAAACCUCUUUUGGCAGGAAACAAACCUGCGCUAUACGCGCAGCUGAGGGUACCUGCAGAAUAAGCACCGGCUAACUCCGUG